UAUUUUCGCAAACGCUAUCUAAAAGUAAGAGAUAUGUCAAUAAUAGCACAAUCGAAAAAAAUGCUAUCCCGAUCUGCUAUUAAAACGCAUUUUUCUUGUAGUGAAUGUUGCCUAAGUUCGUUCCAAAAAACCCCAGAGGUUUUAAGAACAUAAACAUGUGCUUAGCUAACAAAAAUUAUUUGCAAUUUCACUUAUAGGUGAUUCUGCCACGCAAAAAUGAAUACCAGGCGACAGUCUACAGGAUAAGUAUAAAUAUUACUGUAGCAGUUCCGAAAUAUAUUAUACUGUCUAAAAUGUAACUCUGAGAACAUAAGAAGUAACAUAGUAGCAGAGACGAUAAUCAAAGAUCAAAAUGAAAUAGAAACAUAAACCGAGCCAAAAACUUAUCCAUGUCUAAAAUGUAUUAUAGUUAUAUUAAGAAAAAGCUAAUGUAAAUUAAUGGUACCGUCCACCGAAAAAUAAUUAAACGAGAAGUCGGCCGUUAUG
Molecule: long non-coding RNA, 486 nt
Filed under: Brassica napus (rape)
Lineage: Eukaryota; Viridiplantae; Streptophyta; Magnoliopsida; Brassicales; Brassicaceae
Description: long non-coding RNA (BNAP_LNC025099)
Source: RNAcentral